This 495-nucleotide ribosomal RNA is filed under the name uncultured bacterium. RNAcentral describes it as "partial 16S ribosomal RNA". It matches the Rfam family "Bacterial small subunit ribosomal RNA", at positions 28 to 505 of the family's 1533-position model. The record is from RNAcentral.
GACGAACGCUGGCGGCGUGCCUAAUACAUGCGAGUUGAGCGCUGAAGGUUGGUACUUGUACCAACUGGAUGAGCAGCGAACGGGUGAGUAACGCGUGGGGAAUCUGCCUUUGAGCGGGGGACAACAUUUGGAAACGAAUGCUAAUACCGCAUAAAAACUUUAAACACAAGUUUUAAGUUUGAAAGAUGCAAUUGCAUCACUCAAAGAUGAUCCCGCGUUGUAUUAGCUAGUUGGUGAGGUAAAGGCUCACCAAGGCGAUGAUACAUAGCCGACCUGAGAGGGUGAUCGGCCACAUUGGGACUGAGACACGGCCCAAACUCCUACGGGAGGCAGCAGUAGGGAAUCUUCGGCAAUGGACGAAAGUCUGACCGAGCAACGCCGCGGGAGUGAAGAAGGUUUUCGGAUCGUAAAACUCUGUUGGUAGAGAAGAACGUUGGUGAGAGUGGAAAGCUCAUCAAGUGACGGUAACUACCCAGAAAGGGACGGCUAACUACG